AGAAUCAACGCUGGCGGCGUGCCUCAGACAUGCAAGUCGAACGAGAAAGUUCCCUUCGGGGAGCGAGUAAAGUGGCGCACGGGUGAGCAACACGUAGGUAAUCUACCUUCGGGUGGGGAAUAACCCAGGGAAACUUGGGCUAACACCGCAUAAUGCAGCGGCACCACAUGGUGACAGUUGUUAAAGCGGGGGAUUUUCGGACCUCGCGCCUGAAGAGGAGCCUGCGGCGGAUUAGCUAGUUGGUAGGGUAACGGCUUACCAAGGCGACGAUCCGUA
This 276-nucleotide ribosomal RNA is filed under the name uncultured bacterium. RNAcentral's name for it is "partial small subunit ribosomal RNA". It matches the Rfam family "Bacterial small subunit ribosomal RNA", at positions 26 to 285 of the family's 1533-position model. The record is from RNAcentral.